CAGCAGCCACGGUAAUACGGAGGGUGCAAGCGUUAUCCGGAUUCACUGGGUUUAAAGGGUGCGUAGGCGGAUCUGUAAGUCAGUGGUGAAAUCUCCAGGCUUAACCUGGAAACUGCCGUUGAUACUAUAGGUCUUGAAUUUUGUGGAGGUUAGCGGAAUAUGUCAUGUAGCGGUGAAAUGCAUAGAUAUGACAUAGAACACCAAUUGCGAAGGCAGCUGGCUACACAACUAUUGACGCUGAGGCACGAAAGCGUGGGGAUCAAACAGGAUUAGAUACCCGGGUAGUCCCUGUCUCUUAUAA
Molecule: ribosomal RNA, 301 nt
Filed under: uncultured bacterium
Lineage: Bacteria
Description: partial 16S ribosomal RNA
Rfam family: Bacterial small subunit ribosomal RNA
Source: RNAcentral